AACGCAUCUUGCGCUCCUUGGUAUUCCGAGGAGCAUGCCUGUUUGAGUGUCAUUAUAUUCUCAACUCUCCAAUACUUUGUUGUAAAGGAGAGCUUGGUUUGCGGAGGUUUGCUGGCUCCUUACUUGGGGCCAGCUCCUCUGAAAUGCAUUAGCGGAAUCGUCUGCGAUCUGCCACAAGUGUGAUAACUUAUCUACACUGGCGAGGGGAUUGCUUUCUGAUGUUCAGCUUCUAAUCGUCUAAGGACAAUUUCUUGAAUGCUUGACCUCAAAUCAGGUAGGACUACCCGCUGAACUUAA
RNAcentral lists this unclassified non-coding RNA (297 nucleotides) under uncultured Agaricales. RNAcentral describes it as "sequence contains 5.8S rRNA gene, ITS2, 28S rRNA gene". The stretch from base 1 to 52 matches the Rfam family "5.8S ribosomal RNA", at positions 103 to 154 of the family's 154-position model. The record is from RNAcentral. Lineage: Eukaryota; Fungi; Basidiomycota; Agaricomycetes; Agaricales.